Molecule: ribosomal RNA, 497 nt
Filed under: uncultured bacterium
Lineage: Bacteria
Description: partial 16S ribosomal RNA
Rfam family: Bacterial small subunit ribosomal RNA
Source: RNAcentral
CGAACGCUGGCGGCGUGCCUAAUACAUGCAAGUCGAGCGAAGUUUUUCUGGUGCUUGCACCGGAAAAACUUAGCGGCGAACGGGUGAGUAACACGUAAAGAACCUGCCUCAUAGACUGGGACAACUAUUGGAAACGAUAGCUAAUACCGGAUAAUAGCAUUAACUGCAUGGUUGAUGUUUAAAAGUUGGUUUUGCUAACACUAUGAGAUGGCUUUGCGGUGCAUUAGCUAGUUGGUGGGGUAAAGGCCUACUAAGGCGACGAUGCAUAGCCGACCUGAGAGGGUGAUCGGCCACACUGGGACUGAGACACGGCCCAGACUCCUACGGGAGGCAGCAGUAGGGAAUCUUCCGCAAUGGGCGAAAGCCUGACGGAGCAACGCCGCGUGAGUGAAGAAGGAUUUCGGUUCGUAAAGCUCUGUUGUUAGGGAAGAAUGAUUGUGUAGUAACUAUACACAGUAGAGACGGUACCUAACCAGAAAGCCACGGCUAACUACGUG